RNAcentral lists this ribosomal RNA (567 nucleotides) under Inocybe sp. X3_12. RNAcentral describes it as "eukaryotic LSU rRNA". The stretch from base 214 to 367 matches the Rfam family "5.8S ribosomal RNA". The record is from RNAcentral. Lineage: Eukaryota; Fungi; Basidiomycota; Agaricomycetes; Agaricales; Inocybaceae.
CUUGGUCAUUUAGAGGAAGUAAAAGUCGUAACAAGGUUUCCGUAGGUGAACCUGCGGAAGGAUCAUUAUUGAAUCAAAUUUGAAACAGGCUGUUGCUGGCCACAUGGCAUGUGCACGCUUGCUUCUCUUUUAUUUCUCCAACUGUGCACAAAUGUUUUUCACAACCUCUCUCUGAAUGUAUUAGAAUGGCUUGAAUCUGGGGAAUAUAUAUACAACUUUCAGCAACGGAUCUCUUGGCUCUCGCAUCGAUGAAGAACGCAGCGAAAUGCGAUAAGUAAUGUGAAUUGCAGAAUUCAGUGAAUCAUCGAAUCUUUGAACGCAUCUUGCGCUCCUUGGUAUUCCGAGGAGCAUGCCUGUUUGAGUGUCAUUUGAACUUCUCAACCGCUCCAAAUCUGUUUUGGAUGCGGCUUGGAAAUGGGGGAAGUGUUUUGCAGGCCUUUUGUGAAAGGUCUGCUCCCCUGAAAUGCAUUAGUGGGCGACUGCCACAGGUGUGAUAACUGUCAACGCCUAGGCUAUAAGCUGCCGCUUUCCAACCCUUUUGAAAUGACCAACUGACCUCAAAUCAGG